Molecule: ribosomal RNA, 253 nt
Filed under: uncultured bacterium
Lineage: Bacteria
Description: partial 16S ribosomal RNA
Rfam family: Bacterial small subunit ribosomal RNA
Source: RNAcentral
UACGGAGGGUGCGAGCGUUGUCCGGAAUCACUGGGCGUAAAGGGUGCGCAGGCGGCCGUGUGUGUGAGGCGUGAAAGCCCGGGGCUCAACCCCGGAAUUGCACCUUAAACUACAUGGCUAGAGCAUUGGAGAGGGUAGCGGAAUUCACGGUGUAGCAGUGAAAUGCGUAGAUAUCGUGAGGAACACCAGAGGCGAAGGCGGCUACCUGGACAAUUGCUGACGCUCAGGCACGAAAGCGUGGGGAGCAAAAGGG